ACUCAAAUGAAUUGACGGGGGCCCGCACAAGCAGUGGAGUAUGUGGUUUAAUUCGAAGCAACGCGAAGAACCUUACCAGGACUUGACAUAUUAAUGCAACACUAAGAGAUUAGUGCCUCUCUUCGGAGACGUUAUUACAGGUGGUGCAUGGUUGUCGUCAGCUCGUGUCGUGAGAUGUUGGGUUAAGUCCCGCAACGAGCGCAACCCUUGUUGUUAGUUGCCAUCAUUAAGUUGGGCACUCUAACGAGACUGCCGUUGAUAAAACGGAGGAAGGUGGGGAUGACGUCAAAUCAUCAUGCCCCUUAUGUCCUGGGCUACACACGUACUACAAUGGCUGUAACAGAGGGAAGCAAUAUAGUGAUAUGGAGCAAAUCCCAAAAUGCAGCCCCAGUUCAGAUUGUAGGCUGAAACUCGCCUACAUGAAGUUGGAAUUGCUAGUAAUCGCAGGUCAGCAUACUGCGGUGAAUACGUUCCCGGGCCUUGCACACACCGCCCGU
Molecule: ribosomal RNA, 497 nt
Filed under: uncultured bacterium
Lineage: Bacteria
Description: partial 16S ribosomal RNA
Rfam family: Bacterial small subunit ribosomal RNA
Source: RNAcentral